GAUGAACGCUGGCGGCGUGCCUAAUACAUGCAAGUCGAGCGAACAGAUAAGGAGCUUGCUCCUUUGACGUUAGCGGCGGACGGGUGAGUAACACGUGGGUAACCUACCUAUCAGACUGGAAUAACUCCGGGAAACCGGGGCUAAUGCCGGAUAACAUUUAGCACCGCAUGGUUCUAAAGUGAAAGAUGGUUUUGCUAUCACUUCUAGAUGGACCCGCGCCGUAUUAGCUAGUUGGUAAGGUAACGGCUUACCAAGGCUACGAUACGUAGCCGACCUGAUAGGGUGAUCGCCGACACGGGAGCUGAGACACGGUCCAGACGCCUACGGGAGGCAGCAGUAGGGAAUCGUCCGCAAUGGGCGAAAGCCUGACGGAGCAACGCCGCGUGAGUGAUGAAGGUCUUCGGAUCGGAAAACUCUGUUAUUAGGUAAGAACAAAUGUGGAAGUAACUGUGCACGUCGUGACGGUACCUAAUCAGAAAGCCACGGCUAACUACGUG
This 497-nucleotide ribosomal RNA is filed under the name uncultured bacterium. Its description in RNAcentral is "partial 16S ribosomal RNA". It matches the Rfam family "Bacterial small subunit ribosomal RNA", at positions 28 to 507 of the family's 1533-position model. The record is from RNAcentral.